CCUGAAACCGUGUACGUACAAGCAGUAGGAGCAGGCUUUGUCCUGUGACUGCGUACCUUUUGUAUAAUGGGUCAGCGACUUAUAUUCAGUGGCAAGGUUAACCAUCUAGGGGAGCCGUAGGGAAACCGAGUCUUAACUGGGCGUUCAGUCUCUGGAUAUAGACCCGAAACCAGGUGAUCUAGCCAUGGGCAGGUUGAAGGUUGAGUAACAUCAACUGGAGGACCGAACCGACUAAUGUUGAAAAAUUAGCGGAUGAC
Molecule: ribosomal RNA, 257 nt
Filed under: Vibrio parahaemolyticus
Lineage: Bacteria; Pseudomonadati; Pseudomonadota; Gammaproteobacteria; Vibrionales; Vibrionaceae
Description: partial 23S ribosomal RNA
Rfam family: Bacterial large subunit ribosomal RNA
Source: RNAcentral